AUGAUGGCCAGGCUGUCUCCACCCGAGACUCAGUGAAAUUGAACUCGCUGUGAAGAUGCAGUGUACCCGCGGCAAGACGGAAAGACCCCGUGAACCUUUACUAUAGCUUGACACUGAACAUUGAGCCUUGAUGUGUAGGAUAGGUGGGAGGCUUUGAAGCGUGGACGCCAGUCUGCAUGGAGCCGACCUUGAAAUACCACCCUUUAAUGUUUGAUGUUCUAACGUGGACCCGUGAUCCGGGUUGCGGACAGUGUCUGGUGGGUAGUUUGACUGGGGCGGUCUCCUCCUAAAGAGUAACGGAGGAGCACGAAGGUUGGCUAAUCCUGGUCGGACAUCAGGAGGUUAGUGCAAUG
This 353-nucleotide ribosomal RNA is filed under the name Salmonella enterica subsp. enterica serovar Newport. RNAcentral's name for it is "bacterial LSU rRNA". It matches the Rfam family "Bacterial large subunit ribosomal RNA", at positions 2004 to 2356 of the family's 2925-position model. The record is from RNAcentral. Lineage: Bacteria; Pseudomonadati; Pseudomonadota; Gammaproteobacteria; Enterobacterales; Enterobacteriaceae.